UUCCUCUUUUUAUUAUUGAUUACAGAGAAACUUUAUCUAAAUAAACCUCCAAUUGACAACCUUCUCACAUCCUCAUGGCCUCCCCGCCGCCUACGCCACGCGCUUCGUCGUCGCCGGUGCCAACUUCGGCUGCGGCUCCUCCCGUGAGCACGCCCCCGUCAAACCUUCAUCACCCUCUUCCUUCUCAGUUGAAAAAUAUAGAUUCAAGACAAGUUAUGAUUGUAAUACGGCAAGAACGAUUUGGAAUAAGAUUUGCGUGGAUCGAUUUUCUGAUGCUUUGGCUAGAGCAAGGGAAAAGGCAAAACAAGUUACUGUAUCAGAGAAUGUUGCUGAUUAUAAAGGCCACGGACCAAGAGGAAUGAGAACUGAAAUAUGGGAUGGCUUAGUAGGUAUUUGGAAUACACCAGGGUGGAAGAAUAAGUCUAUUAAAGCCAAAAUGAAUAGAGUUGCCUAGCCUGAAGCCAAUGUGCAUACAGGAGGGGAUCUAGAAGCUUCGAGAAAACCUUGAAAAAGAUGGAUGUAGAGUACAAGCUUCGUGUUACCUAUAGUGAAUUAUACAACAAAUUGCAUAAGACAAAAGAUGGGAAUAUGUCUCUAGCAAAACUUCAUUAAACCUAUGAAAAUGCCGUAACAGAGAAAUAUGGAGAAGGAUAAAUCAUAACAUCUUACAGCUGACUUUACAAGUGGUUGGUGAAAACAAAAAGGGUAGAAUCCACAACAUGGGUAAUAGCUUGGAGCUUAUGAGCGGUUCUCCACAGGGUUCAUCUUCAACAACGGUAGGUCCAUCUUCCACAAAUCCUAUACAAUCCACAGAAGACAUCACUGCAAUAUCUACACGGAAGUCUUACAUGCAAGAGCAGAUGCAAACACAACUGCAGAUAUAGACAAAAUCAUUGCAGACACACAUGCAAACACUAAUGGCGAACAUGCAGCUACAGAUAUAGACACAAAUGCAAUUGCGAAUACAAGCACAAUUGGAGUUCUUAUGAAAAGAGAUAUUGUCUGCCUUCACCACUAUCAGACAAAGAUAAAUGAUAAUGCACUUAAGUUUGAUGAUUGAAUUUCUCUUUUUAUAUGUGUUUUAAGACUCAACAAUGGAUGAAACUUGUUGACAAUGUUUAGCUACUUUGUGUUGCAUUUUAAUUGUUAUACACUUUGAUGACAAUAUUUUAUUUAGUUA
This is a long non-coding RNA of Glycine soja, 1180 nucleotides long. RefSeq lists it as uncharacterized. The record is from RefSeq and is a predicted model, not a curated record. The transcript has 4 exons. Lineage: Eukaryota; Viridiplantae; Streptophyta; Magnoliopsida; Fabales; Fabaceae.